AUGGCCCUUGUUCCUGCCAGGAGGCGGCGUACUCGUACGAUGGCCGCGGUUCUCCUGAACCGCACAUGGAUCACGGACAUCCAAGGAUCGUUAGGGCCGGCCGCCGUCCUCGAGUAUGUGGACAUCUGGCGGAGUCUACAACACGUCGCACUCUCCUCGCAGCCAGACGCGACCCGUUGGCGCUGGACUGCCAACGGCAUCUACUCGGCUUCAUCCUGCUAUGUUGCCUUGUUUGAGGGUCCAUGGCCUCCGAACACUGGCGUAUCGUGUGGAAGUCGGGUGCAACUUUGUCAGUGA
Molecule: ribosomal RNA, 297 nt
Filed under: Triticum aestivum (bread wheat)
Lineage: Eukaryota; Viridiplantae; Streptophyta; Magnoliopsida; Poales; Poaceae
Description: partial small subunit ribosomal RNA
Source: RNAcentral